GUUUCGUAGAAUGCAUAUUGCGUCAAAAUAGUAGAUUAAACAAACACUUAAAGUUAAUAUUAUACUUCAAUUAAGUAUAAAAAAAGUUUUGGUGGUAUCCACCAGUGUAAAUACUUUAAAUUAAAGAUCAAAUUUAUUCAUUACAUUCUUAUAGGGUCGAGGAGUGUAUCUGUAAAAAAUCAUCAAAAUCGGAGCUCAAAUAACCGUUAAAUUGUGAUUUUUCGUAUAUA
RNAcentral lists this long non-coding RNA (230 nucleotides) under Malus domestica (apple). Its description in RNAcentral is "long non-coding RNA (MDOM_LNC000332)". The record is from RNAcentral. Lineage: Eukaryota; Viridiplantae; Streptophyta; Magnoliopsida; Rosales; Rosaceae.